ACUGUUGUUCUGUCAUCGUUGAUUGUUGAUCUAUUUAUAGUUGACAAGGUGACAACAAUCACGUUGAAAAACCAUCGAUUUAUGGUUGAGCGGGAAAUUAAAGCUGCUACCACUUGGACUAUUCCGCAGCACCCCUAUCACAUUGGUACAUCCCUCCAGGUAACCAUUGUCUUGUACAGUAGAGCGGGACAUUAGAUUUACUCUCAGCGGAAUUGACCGGAGAAGGCAUCAGUUCAUGCACUGCACUGGCCUGCACCACGAUUAGUAUAAGACAGGGCAAAAAAGGACUCCAAAUUAAAAAAAAGAUAAAAAUGAAAGACUGGUGCAUUGUGCAGUUAGCACUGGUGGUACAGAAAUAGUCCCUAGAUCAUGGAUAAAUGGGGAGAAAUUGUCAUGGCCUCCAUAUCCUCCGUGAGACACAUUCAGGAUCCACGACGCAGUAAAGAGGAGAGUUCAUCCUGGUGCAACAUGGCUCACCUAUGCACCAGUCCGACUUCUAAUAAGCCAUGACACAUUUCACGAAGCAGAACGCAGUCUUCAGAAAUAUCUAAGUGAACACUGUGAUACGUCUGACCUUCAGUCCGAAGCUGAAACUCAGACCAGUCAUAAAAGAAAGCACAAACCAAAUCCCCUGUACACAUAUAGUGACUCAGAGGAUGAGCAGCCCACAAAAAAUGGUUUCCCCAGGCCCCUCGAGUGAAAAUACCAGACCUGACGAGAGCUGUUAACGAACUCCGUGAGGAGGUCAGAGCCAUCCGCAAUACCGGCUGCAAUGAAUCGGUAGAUGCUGGGGUACUGCCUCUGGAUUUGCCCUUGCACAACAUUGAGGAGCUAAACAAUGCAGAGCCAGCUCUUCAAUCACAAGAGGCAAAUAAGGCAAUGGUGAGACGCUUUGCCUUGAUUGGAGCCUGACGCAGCAGUUAGGGGCAAACUCUAUGUCGAGUUUGUCUUUGCACAAGCAGUGCAGAAAUGGCUCCGAUACGCCCCAGAUCGUUUGGGUGGUGCAGGACGCACAUCAUGCAAAAAAUUACAAACUUCUGUGAAUCAUAUAAACGUAAAUAGGAAACUGUCUUUUAAUAAAGUAUUUAGCAAACGAAA
Long non-coding RNA from Haplochromis burtoni (Burton's mouthbrooder), 1098 nucleotides. RefSeq lists it as uncharacterized. The record is from RefSeq and is a predicted model, not a curated record. NCBI's taxonomy places the organism in Eukaryota, Metazoa, Chordata, Actinopteri, Cichliformes, Cichlidae. The transcript is spliced from 6 exons.